AUGUAUGCAUGUUUGUCUGCAUAUACGUAUGUGCAUCAUGUGUGUGCCUGGUGCCCACCCACCUAGGCUAGAAGAGGGCAUUGGAUACCCUGGAAGUGACGUUAGAGAGGAUGGUCAGACACCGACCGUAUGGGUGCUGGGAACCAAACCUGAGUCCUCUGCAAGAGCAAUAAAUGCUCUUAACCACUGAGCCAUCUCAAGCUCCGGCUGUGGAACUCUGAGCAAUACCUUUCUUUUUGCUAUCUUAGAAUACUGUUCUCUGGUAGAUUGUCUUCCAUAACUGUCACCUGAGUUAAAACAGUACUUAUGUAAAUUAUUUUGAGAAUUAUCACUAAGGGGGAGGUAGGGCUUAAAUAAGGUAAAUAUAAUUUUUAUGUAUUUUAGCCAGAAUGUCUACUGAUCUAUCCCAGUCACUAUUAUAUUCUAUGGCGCAGUAACCUUUCAAAAGAAUGUUACAUUUCACCAUUAACAGUUUUUGCUGAAUGAAAGACAGUUGAGUACCAUGUUUCCUGUAAUGAUAUUUAAUAAUAUAUUAAAAGUAAAUGUCUUGAGUUUUUUCUACAAGUAACACUGCUAUCCUGACAUAAUCAUUGACAAGAACCAAUGUGUUCAGGUGGGUCCAAGCUAAAUGGGCUUUACGUGUAAUAGAAGCUUAAAGAAAAAAACAAAAACAAAAAUCAAACUCUAUCCCAUAUUGAUUUUGAGACCACCACCACCCAAACUACAAGGAAAAAAAUGUUCAUUAUGAUUUAGCAGUCUUGACCUACACUUAUUCCGGCAUUUACCUCUGACAGUAACUUAGGAAGUUUGGUUUUCAGAGCCCUGGAUCAAAGCUCCAGGAUGUAUGGUCUUAAAGUGUAAAACCCCUGUCACACACACUGCUCUCCCUGAACGUGAUCAUUGCCUUUGAAAGAUGAUUCUAGAUAUGCAGUCCAAGCUGGGGGUAGGAUUUGCUUUUGCUUAACUCCAAGUCAAAAGCUUUCCCUUGUGUUAAGCACCUGAGAUCUCUCUGGCAGUAGGGACACUCACAGAAGCAUAGAUGGACUGAGCAGACAAAAGGCAAAUGACACCUUACAUCAGAAUCUGGCAUUAUGGUCCCUUUGUGCUUUGAAUUCACAGGUCCCACUUCUUUCCUGGACAGGAGUGGGGAGAAUAAAACCUCUUCCUCCCAUGGUAGUUUUGUUUUUCCAAGCUAAGAAUGGGCUUGGUGUUUGGCUGCCACACGAAGGGGUAGGUGCAGAAAUGUCACUGAGAAUGGUAUCAGGAGGCCACCCCCAGUCCGUGGUCACUACACUGCCAGCUGCAUUUCCAAGGUGCCUUUGCAGUUCAUGGCUGUGAGCAGAACACACAUUCUUUGUUUACACUGUUGAACAUGCAAAGGAGACCUGAGCCAGACUAAUGUGAGUUGUUGCUUCCUGAGAAACAAAGGGUUUUGAGUUUCAACUGAAAGUAUUAUGGAGAGAAAGUGUAUUUUUUUUUUUUUUUUUGGUCUAUUUAAAGUCCAUAUGAAUGAGGAAAAUAGAUCUGAUUGGUCAUUAAAAUUGCAGACAUGACCUCCUGAGUUAAAGUACUAUAUUUGUUUUUUAAUCAAAUAACCAUGCUAUAUUUUUAAAAGUAUUUGAUAGCUCCAUGUAAAAUAAUAGUUGAUAAUUUUACAUUUAUUUUGCCUUGGGUAGGAAUUCUGUCAUUAUUCCCAUACAGGUGUCUCUUGUUCAUGUGCCAGGUCACAAACUUCUCCACAGAGGUUUCACAAGUGAAGGACAUCUGAGGUGGUAGUAAUUUUAAACUGUGUUUUUGUUUCUUCAGAGUUUGGUGCUUUGAAUUU
Molecule: long non-coding RNA, 1825 nt
Filed under: Mus musculus (house mouse)
Lineage: Eukaryota; Metazoa; Chordata; Mammalia; Rodentia; Muridae
Description: long non-coding RNA chr6:37967879-37969704
Source: RNAcentral